AACGGCCAUACCAUGCUGAAUAUAUCGGUUCUCGUUAGAUCACCGAAGUCAAGCAUCAUUGGGCGCAGUCAGUACUUGGGUGGGUGACCACCCGAACACCGCGUGCCGUU
This 110-nucleotide ribosomal RNA is filed under the name Caerostris extrusa. Lineage: Eukaryota; Metazoa; Arthropoda; Arachnida; Araneae; Araneidae. The record is from RNAcentral.